GAUGAACGCUGGCGGCGUGCCUAAUACAUGCAAGUCGAGCGAACGGACGAGAAGCUUGCUUCUCUGAUGUUAGCGGCGGACGGGUGAGUAACACGUGGAUAACCUACCUAUAAGACUGGGAUAACUUCGGGAAACCGGAGCUAAUACCGGAUAAUAUUUUGAACCGCAUGGUUCAAAAGUGAAAGACGGUCUUGCUGUCACUUAUAGAUGGAUCCGCGCUGCAUUAGCUAGUUGGUAAGGUAACGGCUUACCAAGGCAACGAUGCAUAGCCGACCUGAGAGGGUGAUCGGCCACACUGGAACUGAGACACGGUCCAGACUCCUACGGGAGGCAGCAGUAGGGAAUCUUCCGCAAUGGGCGAAAGCCUGACGGAGCAACGCCGCGUGAGUGAUGAAGGUCUUCGUAUCGUAAAACUCUGUUAUUAGGGAAGAACAUAUUUGUAAGUAACUGUGCACAUCUUGACGGUACCUAAUCAGAAAGCCACGGCUAACUACGUG
RNAcentral lists this ribosomal RNA (497 nucleotides) under uncultured bacterium. RNAcentral's name for it is "partial 16S ribosomal RNA". It matches the Rfam family "Bacterial small subunit ribosomal RNA", at positions 28 to 507 of the family's 1533-position model. The record is from RNAcentral.